Long non-coding RNA from Aegilops tauschii subsp. strangulata, 1385 nucleotides. RefSeq lists it as uncharacterized. The record is from RefSeq and is a predicted model, not a curated record. NCBI's taxonomy places the organism in Eukaryota, Viridiplantae, Streptophyta, Magnoliopsida, Poales, Poaceae.
GGCAUGAAACCGUGUUCGUCAGGAAAACUGCAGCUCCCCAAACCGCAGCGAGGUCGAAUCGAUCGAUUCUUGACCCCAGGACACGGGAUCCACCCUAUAUAAGUUCCCCAACCCCUCCUCUACCGAUUUUUCUUCGUUUCGCCGCCUCCCGUGCCCUAGAACGGCGCACAGAUCUCACCGGAGUUUGCCGCCGUCUGAAGCUUCUGCCGGUCGAUUGCAUCGCCUCUGGAGGGAAGCACCCACCCGAGUGCUUCGAGCUCGCCCCAACGAACACCCCACCGCCCGAGCUCCAGCCACCCUCUGUCGUCAUCCCCGCUCGCCACCGACGCCGCUGAGGACGUCGUCGAGACCGCAGCAGAGCUCCACGCCCCGUACGAUACCCUCUGGAGUCUAGAGACCACCGAAGCAGGCGCCACCAUCGCCGCCCGAGCCGCCCCGCGCCGUUCUUCCUCAAGUCCGGCGACCAGCCUCUGUUCUUCUCCGAUUGUCCGAAGUGCGAAGCGGGUCGGAAUUUAUCGUUAGAGUACUUCAACAGUGUUCAAGGCAAGUUUGCACUUUUGAAUAUGCUCACCCUAUAUUCUGCUAUGCAUGUGUUGUUCUUAUGCUAUGAGUAUAUGUUUGGUUGAUCAUUAUUUUUCGUGCUGCCAUGUUUUGGUGUUGAUUGUGUUAUGUGAUGGUGUGAUCAACUUUAUGGUAGACGUGGGCAUGUGUCGAGUGAUCCAUGAAAGUGGUGAGUGUUUAUAGCCGUAGGCUCGGGAUUAUUAACCAGGUGAAUGCGUCAUUGGCAGAGCGCUCUAUUGUCCCUAGAGAAUGCGCCAUUGACGAAGCGCACUUGAGGUGAGGUAUAGUUUUCGGAACAUAAAUCAGGUGACUGCGUCCUUGGUAGAGCGCUCUAUUGUUCCUAGAGAAUGCGCCAUUGACGGAGCGCACUUGAGAGACUUCUGAAGUUCUUGUCAUGUUUUCUUAGAAUCUUUGGGUUAUCUUGGGCGAAUAAGUUUAGAUGCGGUUGUAAUUAAGUUCAGUUAGUGGAGGUAGGUGAAGACAUUCUUCUCCAAACUAACUUGAGUGUUUUGUUUGUCAUACUUUGCUUGUGGAUGUAGGUUUGCUAUAUUAUAUUGUGUGAUUUGCCAAUACAUUCAAUGUAUUGACCCCUUGUGGCUGCAACUUAUCAUGUUGCAGGAUUUUUAGAUGAUCAGUGAGAUACAGUAGGGUCGCGAGUCUUCACUCAACAUUUUUCUCUAGUGGGCAUUGAUGGGACUCAUCGUUUGUUUAUGCUGCAUUUUCGCUAUUAUUAUUGAGUAAAGCUAGUUGUGUACUAUGAGUUUGUAAUACUUUAUGAAUUCUGGAUCAUACGUUAUAGUAAAUGAUGCACCUGUUAUUUGAUA